CUACGGGAGGCUCCAGUGGGGAAUCUUAGACAAUGGGGGAAACCCUGAUCUAGCCAUGCCGCGUGAUCGAUGAAGGCCUUAGGGUUGUAAAGAUCUUUCAGGUGGGAAGAUAAUGACUGUACCACCAGAAGAAGCCCCGGCUAACUCCGUGCCAGCAGCCGCGGUAAUACGGAGGGGGCUAGCGUUAUUCGGAAUUACUGGGCGUAAAGCGCACGUAGGCGGACCAGAAAGUCAGAGGUGAAAGCCCGGGGCUCAACCCCGGAACUGCCUUUGAAACUCCUGGUCUUGAGGUCGAGAGAGGUGAGUGGAAUUCCGAGUGUAGAGGUGAUAUUCGUAGAUAUUCGGAGGAACACCAGUGGCGAAGGCGGCUCACUGGCUCGAUACUGACGCUGAGGUGCGAAAGCGUGGGGAGCAAACAGGAUUAGAUACCCUUGUAGUC
Molecule: ribosomal RNA, 439 nt
Filed under: uncultured bacterium
Lineage: Bacteria
Description: partial 16S ribosomal RNA
Rfam family: Bacterial small subunit ribosomal RNA
Source: RNAcentral